GAAAAGGGAACCCUUGUACACUGUUGGUGCGAAUGUAAAUUGGUGCAGCCACUAUGGAAAACAGUAUGCAGAUUCCUCAAAAAAUUAAAAAUAGAACUAACAUGUCAUCCAACAACUCCGCUUGUGGAUAUAUAUCCAAAGGAAAUGAAAACAGGGUAUCCAAAAUAUGAGUGCACUCCCAUGUUUAUUGCAGCAUUAUUAGCAAUAGCCAAGACAUGGAAACAACCUAAGUGCCCAUCAACAGAUGAAUGGAUAAAGAUAUGCUAAGCCAGGACAGUGGCUGGUUGGAGAUUCCUGAAGGCAGUACAACCUGCUGUUCACGCCGGUGCCCAGGUGCAGUGGGAGCACACGCUUCCCAAUUCCUGUCACCAACAAAGCCGGCCACCGUCCAGCUCUUCCACCUGGCACUGGAGCAUCCUGAGGUUGCCCAUCCCUGGGACAUGGCGUAUCCCUUUCUGCAAGACAGAUAAGUAACUGAAAAUAAAGAACCGGCGUGAAGAGAAUUGGAAGAGAACUUUGAACCCUGGGACCCAGUGAAAAUGAAUAGCCCCGGGUGGGGUGACAAAGAGGAAAACUGAAGGUGCCGGACCCGCUAGGGGAAUGCAGAAGGAGAGGCAGAGAGCAAGAGAAAAUCAGGAAGGAAAAGAGAACAGAACUCACUUUCACUGAGCAAUGACUUUGUGCCAGAACAGUAAAAUGACUUUGUACCAGGACACACUGUAAACAACACCUAGAAAGUCUCUAAGAUGAAUAUUCACGGUAGUUCUCGUCUCCCUACUUUCUAAGGAGGGUUCUUUGUUUGAGCUCUUCAGCUCUCGAGCACUUUUUGUGGGAACAGGAUUAAUGAAUAAGCAAAAGAAAUGUCUCAGAGUUAUGCACAGAAGAAAGAAGAGAGAGAGAAAGUGGGAAGAGGGGAUUACAGACAGGCGGUAUGAGCCAGGGCCACAGGAACGAGAAAUUGAAGGGAGAGCUACCAUGAUGAGUGGGACUUUGGGGAGGGUGAUAUUUUAAGAGAUUUGGGAAAGAUUUGCUGGUCUUGCCUAGUGUGAUAAACCAAUCCCCGGGGCUGGCCCAGUGGUGCAGCGGUUGGGUGCGCACGUUCUGCUUCGGCAGCCCGGGGUUUGCCAGUUCGGAUCCCAGGUGUGGACGUAGCGCUGCUUGGCAGGCCUGCUGUGGUAGGCGUCCCACAUAUAAAGUAGAGGAAGAUGGGCAUGGAUGUUAGCUCAGGGCCAGUCUUCCUCAGCAAAAAGAGGAGGAUUGGCAGCAGAUGUUAGCUCGGGGCUAAUCUUCCUCAAAAGAAAAAUUAAAAAAUAAACCAAUCUCCUUGCCUUGUCUUUCAAGACAUUUCAGAAAGUCUCACAUUAUUCUUCAAGAGGUCUAAUAUGCAUUUAUUUUUUUGGAAGUGUCAC
This 1409-nucleotide long non-coding RNA is filed under the name Equus caballus (horse). RNAcentral's name for it is "lncRNA (ENSECAG00000054730.1)". Lineage: Eukaryota; Metazoa; Chordata; Mammalia; Perissodactyla; Equidae. The record is from RNAcentral.